Molecule: ribosomal RNA, 429 nt
Filed under: uncultured bacterium
Lineage: Bacteria
Description: bacterial SSU rRNA
Rfam family: Bacterial small subunit ribosomal RNA
Source: RNAcentral
GAACGCGAAGAACCUUACCUACCCUUGACAUGCCAGGAAUCCUGCAGAGAUGUGGGAGUGCUCGCAAGAGAGCCUGGACACAGGUGCUGCAUGGCUGUCGUCAGCUCGUGUCGUGAGAUGUUGGGUUAAGUCCCGCAACGAGCGCAACCCUUGCCAUUAGUUGCUACGAAAGGGCACUCUAAUGGGACUGCCGGUGACAAACCGGAGGAAGGUGGGGAUGACGUCAAGUCCUCAUGGCCCUUAUGGGUAGGCUACACACGUCAUACAAUGGCCGGUACAGAGGGCUGCCAACCCGCGAGGGGGAGCCAAUCCCGUAAAACCGGUCGUAGUCCGGAUUGCAGUCUGCAACUCGACUGCAUGAAGUCGGAAUCGCUAGUAAUCGCGGAUCAGCAUGUCGCGGUGAAUACGUUCCCGGGUCUUGUACACACC